CAUGCAUGUCUAAGUAUAAGCAAUUAUACCGUGAAACUGCGAAUGGCUCAUUAAAUCAGUUAUCGUUUAUUUGAUAGUACCUUACUACUUGGAUAACCGUGGUAAUUCUAGAGCUAAUACAUGCUGAAAACCCCAACUUCGGGAGGGGUGUAUUUAUUAGAUAAAAAACCAACGCCCUUCGGGGCUUCUUGGUGAUUCAUGAUAACUUCACGGAUCGCAUGGCCUUGCGCCGGCGACGGUUCAUUCAAAUUUCUGCCCUAUCAACUUUCGAUGGUAAGGUAUUGGCUUACCAUGGUUUCAACGGGUAACGGGGAAUUAGGGUUCGAUUCCGGAGAGGGAGCCUGAGAAACGGCUACCACAUCCAAGGAAGGCAGCAGGCGCGCAAAUUACCCAAUCCCGACACGGGGAGGUAGUGACAAUAAAUACUGAUACAGGGCUCUUUUGGGUCUUGUAAUUGGAAUGAGUACAAUUUAAACCUCUUAACGAGGAACAAUUGGAGGGCA
This 503-nucleotide ribosomal RNA is filed under the name Phoma sp. ARG-225-1. RNAcentral's name for it is "SSU rRNA". It matches the Rfam family "Eukaryotic small subunit ribosomal RNA", at positions 50 to 557 of the family's 1831-position model. Lineage: Eukaryota; Fungi; Ascomycota; Dothideomycetes; Pleosporales; Didymellaceae. The record is from RNAcentral.